CCUACGGGGUGCAGCAGUGAGGAAUAUUUGUCAAUGGACGCAAGUCUGAACCAGCCAUGCCGCGUGCAGGAAGACGGCUCUAUGAGUUGUAAACUGCUUUUGUACGAGGGUAAACGCAGAUACGCGUAUCUGUCUGAAAGUAUCGUACGAAUAAGGAUCGGCUAACUCCGUGCCAGCAGCCGCGGUAAUACGGAGGAUUCAAGCGUUAUCCGGAUUUAUUGGGUUUAAAGGGUGCGUAGGCGGUAGGAUAAGUUAGAGGUGAAAUCCCGAGGCUCAACUUCGGAAUUGCCUCUGAUACGGUGCGGCUAGAGAGUAGUUGCGGUAGGCGGAAUGUAUGGUGUAGCGGUGAAAUGCUUAGAGAUCAUACAGAACACCGAUUGCGAAGGCAGCUUACCAAGCUACUUCUGACGUUGAGGCACGAAAGCGUGGGGAGCAAACAGGAUUAGAUACCCUGGUAGUC
This 460-nucleotide ribosomal RNA is filed under the name uncultured bacterium. Its description in RNAcentral is "partial 16S ribosomal RNA". It matches the Rfam family "Bacterial small subunit ribosomal RNA", at positions 338 to 795 of the family's 1533-position model. The record is from RNAcentral.